AUAUCUCAAUCACAUCCAUGAUGUGGCUUGGACUUGGGGGGAAACGUGCAGGCUUACUUAGGCUUAGGCUUAGUCUGCUCCCCUGAAAAAUAUGAGCGGUACCUAUAUUGGAACUCUGGCUAGGUGUGAUACACAUCUGCAUCUAACCGAGGUCGUUAUUGCUGCUGAUCAUUAUGACUUUGAUAA
RNAcentral lists this unclassified non-coding RNA (186 nucleotides) under uncultured Inocybe. Its description in RNAcentral is "sequence contains ITS2". Lineage: Eukaryota; Fungi; Basidiomycota; Agaricomycetes; Agaricales; Cortinariaceae. The record is from RNAcentral.